RNAcentral lists this ribosomal RNA (328 nucleotides) under Clostridioides difficile. RNAcentral's name for it is "bacterial SSU rRNA". It matches the Rfam family "Bacterial small subunit ribosomal RNA", at positions 892 to 1219 of the family's 1533-position model. The record is from RNAcentral. Lineage: Bacteria; Bacillati; Bacillota; Clostridia; Peptostreptococcales; Peptostreptococcaceae.
GAGUGAAACUCAAAGGAAUUGACGGGGACCCGCACAAGUAGCGGAGCAUGUGGUUUAAUUCGAAGCAACGCGAAGAACCUUACCUAAGCUUGACAUCCCAAUGACAUCUCCUUAAUCGGAGAGUUCCCUUCGGGGACAUUGGUGACAGGUGGUGCAUGGUUGUCGUCAGCUCGUGUCGUGGGAUGUUGGGUUAAGUCCCGCAACGAGCGCAACCCUUGUCUUUAGUUGCCAUCAUUAAGUUGGGCACUCUAGAGAGACUGCCAGGGAUAACCUGGAGGAAGGUGGGGAUGACGUCAAAUCAUCAUGCCCCUUAUGCUUAGGGCUACAC